Molecule: transfer RNA, 77 nt
Filed under: Chloroflexota bacterium
Lineage: Bacteria; Bacillati; Chloroflexota
Description: tRNA-Leu
Rfam family: tRNA
About the family: Transfer RNA (tRNA) molecules are approximately 80 nucleotides in length. Their secondary structure includes four short double-helical elements and three loops (D, anti-codon, and T loops).
Source: RNAcentral
GCCCUCGUAGCCCAAUGGGCAGAGGCCGCAGCUCGAGAGGCUGUGAGGUGUAGGUUCGAAUCCUACCGAGGGCACCA